CAGCCUGACCUUCCCCUUCUCAGUGAGCCAUCACUUACCAAUUAGCGUUCCCUCCUCAGAAGCCUGGUCCGGGCCCAUGGAGUCCCUACGCCAAGCUCACCGCACCGGCUGAAGAAAAUCCUGCUCCAAACAGUGAUAAAGACUGAAAAUAAAUGCUGGCAGCUAAAGACACAUUUUUUCCCGUCCUUCCAACAUUCACCUGCACCUCAACUCAGGAUACCUAACUGAUCAAGGAUGAGUGAUGUUGUAAAGGUGACACAGCAAAAAGGAGCCUAUCUUUCUUUCCAAGGUUUUAAAUUGCUCAAAAUUGCAUUAAACAACCCGACCGUGUCCCACCUGUCUUGCUGCCCAGCAGGUGAGAAGUUGAUGUACUGAGCGUGUCACUUUUAAUAUCUGGACUGAAUUGAACUGAACUGACACUUGAUAAAUCAGAUUCGGCAACC
This is a long non-coding RNA of Camelus dromedarius (Arabian camel), 443 nucleotides long. RefSeq lists it as uncharacterized. The record is from RefSeq and is a predicted model, not a curated record. The transcript is spliced from 3 exons. NCBI's taxonomy places the organism in Eukaryota, Metazoa, Chordata, Mammalia, Artiodactyla, Camelidae.